UACGGAGGUGGCAAGCGUUACUCGGAUUCAUUGGGUGUAAAGGGCGUGUAGGCGGUUACGUAAGUUGAGUGUGAAAUCCCACGGCUCAACCGUGGAACUGCACUCAAAACUGCGCGACUUGGGUGUGGGAGAGGAGAAUGGAAUUCCCGGUGUAAGGGUGAAAUCUGUGGAUAUCGGGAGGAACACCAGUGGCGAAGGCGAUUCUCUGGCCCAUUACCGACGCUGAGAAGCGAAAGCGUGGGGAGCAAAC
RNAcentral lists this ribosomal RNA (250 nucleotides) under uncultured bacterium. RNAcentral's name for it is "partial 16S ribosomal RNA". It matches the Rfam family "Bacterial small subunit ribosomal RNA", at positions 524 to 773 of the family's 1533-position model. The record is from RNAcentral.